This is a small nuclear RNA of Dipodomys ordii (Ord's kangaroo rat), 108 nucleotides long. The record is from Ensembl. NCBI's taxonomy places the organism in Eukaryota, Metazoa, Chordata, Mammalia, Rodentia, Heteromyidae.
AGUGCUUACUCUGGCAAUUUGUAUACUAAGCUUUGAGAAAUACAGAGAAGAUUAACAUGGCCCCUGUGCAUGGAUGACAUGAAAAUUUGUGAAGUAUUCCAGGGUUUG